UCUCAGGCUGUGACCCUCUAGAGGGAAGCGCUUUCUGUGGUCUGAAAGAAAAGAAAGUGCUUCCUUUUAGAGGGUUACCGUUUG
MicroRNA precursor from Macaca nemestrina (pig-tailed macaque), 84 nucleotides. The record is from Ensembl. NCBI's taxonomy places the organism in Eukaryota, Metazoa, Chordata, Mammalia, Primates, Cercopithecidae.